This 414-nucleotide ribosomal RNA is filed under the name uncultured microorganism. RNAcentral describes it as "bacterial SSU rRNA". It matches the Rfam family "Archaeal small subunit ribosomal RNA", at positions 330 to 745 of the family's 1478-position model. The record is from RNAcentral.
GCGCAGCAGUCGAGAAAACUUCACACUGUGCGAAAGCACGGUGAGGGAAUCCCAAGUGCUUGCACGUAAGUGUAAGCUGUUUCUCUGUCUAAAACGCAGAGAGAGUAAGGGCUGGGUAAGACGGGUGCCAGCCGCCGCGGUAAUACCUGCAGCUCAAGUGGUGACCGUUAUUAUUGGGCCUAAAACGUCCGUAGCCGGUUUAAUAAAUGCCUGGGUAAAUUGUGUGGCUUAACUAUACGAAUUCCGGGUAGACUGUUAAACUUGAGACCGGGAGAAGUUAGAGGUACUCCUGGGGUAGAGGUGAAAUUCUGUAAUCCUAGGGGGACCACCAGUGGCGAAGGCGUCUAACUAGAACGGGUCUGACGGUGAGGGACGAAGCCCUGGGGCGCAAACGGGAUUAGAUACCCGUGUAGU